Pangasianodon gigas (Mekong giant catfish) is the source of this 72-nucleotide non-coding RNA. The record is from the annotation of a GenBank genome assembly. Lineage: Eukaryota; Metazoa; Chordata; Actinopteri; Siluriformes; Pangasiidae.
CCUCUCUCACUGAGGUCGUAUCCUCUAUACCCUCUCUCUCACUGAGGUCGUAUCCUCUAUACCCUCUCUCUC